UGCAAAUCAACACCCAGGACUUGACCGUCGUUUAAACUUUCACUCUAAAGAUAAACAGUGACCUGCGAAGAUUAUUUAUCAUUUAUCGUUUUACUGAUUAUGAAACACAACCAUGAUGAAAUAUAUAAAAUUCUUGUCUAUAUUAAACAGUACUACAUAUCAAUACCUUACGAACAAGUGUGCAUACAUACAAAUACACUGAUCAUAACCGUUCGUUCUUAUUUGAGAUUUUUUUAAUAAACUGAUCAUAUACGUUUGUACAAAAUAUAAGAAAAAUAUUUCUUUUUGGAUUCCGCCUAUCAUU
Molecule: long non-coding RNA, 304 nt
Filed under: Ananas comosus (pineapple)
Lineage: Eukaryota; Viridiplantae; Streptophyta; Magnoliopsida; Poales; Bromeliaceae
Description: long non-coding RNA (ACOM_LNC020211)
Source: RNAcentral